This 373-nucleotide ribosomal RNA is filed under the name uncultured organism. RNAcentral describes it as "bacterial SSU rRNA". It matches the Rfam family "Bacterial small subunit ribosomal RNA", at positions 526 to 896 of the family's 1533-position model. The record is from RNAcentral.
CAGAGGUCUCAAGCGUUGUUCGGAUUCAUUGGGCGUAAAGGGUGCGUAGGUGGCGCCGUAAGUGGGGUGUGAAAUUUCGGAGCUUAACUCCGAAACUGCAUUCCAUACUGCGGUGCUUGAGGACUGGAGAGGAGACUGGAAUUUACGGUGUAGCAGUGAAAUGCGUAGAGAUCGUAAGGAAGACCAGUGGCGUAGGCGGGUCUCUGGACAGUUCCUGACACUGAGGCACGAAGGCCAGGGGGAGCAAACGGGAUUAGAUACCCCGGUAGUCCUGGCAGUAAACGGUGCACGUUUGGUGUGGGAGGAUUCGACCCCUUCUGCGCCGGAGCUAACGCGUUAAACGUGCCGCCUGGGGAGUACGGUCGCAAGAUUA